This 95-nucleotide signal recognition particle RNA is filed under the name Pontixanthobacter gangjinensis. Its description in RNAcentral is "Altererythrobacter gangjinensis signal recognition particle sRNA small type". It matches the Rfam family "Bacterial small signal recognition particle RNA". From Rfam's summary of the family: The signal recognition particle (SRP) is a universally conserved ribonucleoprotein involved in the co-translational targeting of proteins to membranes. Archaeal SRP consists of a 7S RNA and homologues of the eukaryotic SRP19 and SRP54 proteins. Lineage: Bacteria; Pseudomonadati; Pseudomonadota; Alphaproteobacteria; Sphingomonadales; Erythrobacteraceae. The record is from RNAcentral.
UCGGGAGUCGGGUGGACGUUUGCGUUCGUUUACCUGGUCAGGUCCGGAAGGAAGCAGCCAAGGCGUGUUGCGACGGGUCGCUCGGCUCCUUUUUC